AUUGAACGCUGGCGGCAGGCCUAACACAUGCACGUCGAACGAGUGGCGGACGGGUGAGUAAUGUCUGGGAAACUGCCUGAGGGAGGGGGAUAACUACUGGAAACGGUAGCUAAUACCGCAUACCAUCGGAUGUGCCCAGAUGGGAUUCGCUAGUAGGUGGGGUAAAGGCUCACCUAGGCGCCGAUCCCUAGCUUGUCUGAGAGGAUGACCAGCCACACUGGAACUGAGACACGGUCCAUACUCCUACGGGAGGCAGCAGUGGGGAAUAGUGCACAAUGGGCGCAAGCCUGAUGCAGCCAUGCCGCGUGUAUGAAGAAGGCCUGCGGGUUGUAAAGUACUUUCAGCGGGGAGGCGGUACCCGCAGAAGAAGCACCGGCUAACUCCGUGCCAGCAGCCGCGGUAAUUC
RNAcentral lists this ribosomal RNA (406 nucleotides) under uncultured bacterium. RNAcentral's name for it is "partial 16S ribosomal RNA". It matches the Rfam family "Bacterial small subunit ribosomal RNA", at positions 30 to 526 of the family's 1533-position model. The record is from RNAcentral.